GGGUCAAAAUCCCUAGUCCAUCUCCAAUUCCCCUCGGGCCUAGCAACACCUCUCCUUCCCCCAUCUCCUUCUCCACCACCGGCCACCGCCGUGGCCAGGCCGACGGAGUGGUGCGCCUCCCGCUUCAUCACGCAUCUCCAUCCACCACUCCACCAUCACCCUGCACCACCAGCGCCACCAGCACCCCCACCAUCACUCCGCGCCAUCCAUCGACCAUCUCCAUCCACCGCCGCAUCUGGCGCGACCCACCAGACUGCCCGUCUGGUGUCCCGCGCGAGCACGCCAUCCACCACUUUCACUCCUCCCUCUCGCUUGUUGUUGCUCCUCCCUCUUGCUUUGUCCUGCUGCUUAUUUUCUUCCCCUCGCCUUCCUCAACUGCUGCUGCUCCUUCUUCCUGUGCACCCCUGCUGCUCCUCUCUCUCGCAACUCCUGCUGCUGCUCUUCUUCCUCUUCUCCUCACCUUGCCGCUGCUCUGAAUCUUAACUUGUUGCUGCCGCUUCUUCUUCUCUGAACCCAACGCUGCUAGAUGCUCCUCCUAGUUCCGCUUCUCUUCUACCCAACAAAACUGCUGCUGCUCUCUUUAUUUCUCUUCAUCUCUCUCUUUCUAUGUGUGUGUGUAAUUUCUGUGAGUUACUAGUGGAUGCUAGAUCAACUAUAUUCUAUUCUGAAUUAGUAUUAUUUGUGUUUGUAUAUUAGUUAGUUUACUUUAAUAAUUCAGAUCACCUAUGAUCUUUGUGUUGAAUGUGCUUUCAGUGUUCUUGAGAAGUGUAAAACUGUUCAACAUUCAGUUUACAAUUUCUGAAACUUCUGUGAUUCAGUGGUGUCUCUAUGUCAUAUAUAUAGCCUAUGUACUGCCUGUUGUAGAAAAUUUCAGUUUGUAAGUUCCUGUGAUAGCUCCAGUACAUGUGACUUUUAUGUUGUCUCAAGUACCUGUGAUAUACAUACAUAUGUGUGUGUCUGUCAUGUGAUACAUUCAUGUUCUAUCCUACAACCUUGUUUCUUCCCCCUGUUAAUUGUUAGAUAGCUAUAGGUAUGUAUGUAUGUAUAUAUAUAUAUAUAUAUAUUCAUGUCUUUUUAAUUCCCUAGCAUUUUGAUGUUUUCUCAUGUUAGCAUUUUAUUUCUCAAGUUUAAUGAAAACCUCCCCUUGCUUGUUUUGUGUUUUCUUUGGCGACGAUCUUCAGGAAGAACUUUGUAUAGUUUAGGUUUAUAUUUUCUACAUUCGUCUCUUAAAAUUGUGUUACCUAUAUUUAGCCGAGCAUAGUCGUCGUCGCCUAGUCCCUAUGGGGAACACGACACUUGCAGUUUGGGGCGUAAAACCCCCGCUGUACUACAAUUGAUCAUUUUGGCGCCGUUGCCGGGGACUAGCGUCGAGUGGCCGUGUUAGGCUAUAGACUAGGUGUUUCUUCUUUUUCUAGUUUGUGCCAUAUAUAUGUGAUAUAUAUCUAACCCCUAAGGCUUGUUCAAGUUAUUUUCUCUUUCUUUGCUUGGUCAUUCUGCAGGUUAUUGCAUCUUCUCGGUUAUGGCUUACUGUUCGGAUCAUCAUGCUUAUGCGAGCAACACUACAAACAGCACGGAAAGUAUUCAAGACCUAAUAAGCAAGAUUUCCCAUCAAUUAUAUGAUUUAGCUCGACAACGAGAAGUAGUUUUUGAGGAUAGGCCUAGCUCUUAUGAUCCUUAUUCUAGAGGUCAUCCUUAUGUUGCUCCUACAUGCCAUAUUUGUGGAUUUCAGGGCCAUUCACCCGUUGAAUGUCAGCGUGGUUACUCUCACUCUUCCGAUUGUUAUGGCAUGAGCUUCGCCCCACAGCCUAGCUCAUACCAAAACAAUUACUCAUAUGGGUGGCCUGAAAACAAGAAUAUGUCAUAUAGGAGCAACAACCCUAAGAUCUCACUGUUUGCUUCUAGUAAUCAUAUGCUCCACAAUAGAUUUAUUCAGCUCCUACUCAUAUACCUCAACACCAGGAGAUGUUGCCAAUGGAGUUAAACGGUCCUCCAUUUCGUCAACCAACAACUCCAGCAACUGCCGAGCAAUCUCAUGUGCAAGUACCCACACAAGAUGAAUUUGAUGAUAUAGACAAGCUCACAUUGCUUAGUCUCGAGUUCACUUGGAGUGCUGAAGAUGAUCCAAUUAGGCCGGUGAUACUAGAUGAAAUGAAGAAGAUCAAGACUGGAAAAGAGCUACUGGAAGAAGUAAGGAAGAUUGAGAAGAACAUCAACGCUGGCAGCACUAUUUCUUCACAGCUUGAGCUGAGUGUUUCUAGGAUUCCUCUUGAUACAUGUGAGUUUCUAACACCUUCACAUUCAGCUGAGCAAGAUAGCGAGAUUCCAGAGGAAGAGAUGCUUCAGAUCCAAGAAGAAAUUCUUGAAGCCAAGUCACAAGAUGAUCCAGAGCUCGAAUACCCAAAUGAACAAGUUGAAGAUCCAAUGUCUACUACUUCCGAAGAAGUAAAAGAAGCUGUUGUAGAUGAAGAUGAAGAACCUGAGAUUCAUUUGCCUAUUGUUAUACAAGAGAGUGAUGUGCCAGGUUCAUUCAAUCCUCUUAAUGACAUGUCCCAUUAUGUUUUGUUUGACUCUACCUUGCUUUACAUGAUGCCAUCACUUAAGGUAGAUUUAAAGAAGUGUUUGCUUGGAUAUGAUGAUACAUAUACUGUUGAUGGAAUUGCUCAUAUUAAUGAUGAUCACACUUAUUUUCCUCAUGCCAAGCCUAUGCUUAAUGAUAAAUAUCAUCUUACUGCUAGUAUUGAGCUAGUUGAUUCCUAUAAUACUCGUCAUGUUCUAUAUUCCUAUGUUUAUAUAAUUGGAUACUCGAUUGAUGACUUAGAGGGCAUCGACCCUAUCACUCUUAGUUGUUGUUUGUGUGUGUCCUAUUUCAGGUUUUUGCUUGUGCACGAAUCAAUGUAUGUUGACCAGGUUCGAGGUGACAUCCCUUGGGAUCCCGGUGGAGUUAGAGCAUGGCGAUGAGGAGAAGCAAUGGGGCACACAUAUGGAAGAGAGGAGCUGGAGCGUGCACGAGGAAGCAAAAGGAGAGGAGUCACAAUGCAAGAGGAUGUGAGAUGAUCGAGUGUAUACCAUGUUCUCGGGAUCGGUGGUAUGUUCCUUCGAAAAGUGCGCAACGGCACUAUAAACUUCAAGAUCCAUACUAGUGGCUAAGAGAACAAAGAGGAGGAGGAAGAAUGGACUUGUGCGAGAAGAAACAAAGUAACCAGCGGGCUAACUAGAGAAGAGAGGGAUGUUCUUGCGAAGAAAGAAGGAAGUAGGAGGGCCAUUGUGAAAAUGGGCAGAUUGGAUCAAGGGGUCAAAAUCCCUAGUCCAUCUCCAAUUCCCCUCGGGCCUGGCAACACCUCUCCUUCCCCCAUCUGCUUCUCCACCACCGGCCACCGCCGCGGCCAGGCUGCCGUGGUGGUGCGCCUCUCACCUCAUCACCCAUCUCCAUCCACCACUCCACCAUCACCCUGCACCACCAACGCCACCAGCACUCCCACCAUCACUCCGCGCCAUCCAUCCACCAUCUCCAGCCACCGCCGCAUCUGGCGCGACCCACCAGACUGCCCGUCUGGUGUCCCGCACGAGCACGCCAUCCACCACUUCCACUCCCCCCUCUCUCUUAUUGCUGCUCCUCCCUCUUGCUUCGUCCUGCUGCUUCUUUUCUUCCCCUUGCCUUCCUCAACUGCUACUGAUCCUUCUUCCUAUGCACCCCUGCUGCUCCUCUCUCUCUCGCAACUCCUGCUGCUGCUCACCUUGCUGCUGCUCUGAACCUUAACUUGUUGCUUCCACUUCUUCUUCUCUGAACCCAACGCUGCUAGCUGCUCCUCCUAGUGUCGCUUCUCUUCUGCCCAAUAAAAUUGCUGCUGCUCUCUUUGUUCCUCUUCAUCUCUCUCUUUCUAUGUGUGUGUGUGUGUAAUUUCUGUGAGUUAUUAGUGGAUGCUAGAUCAACUAUAUUCUAUUCUGAAUUAGUAUUAUUUGUGUUUGUAUGUCAGUUAAUUUACUUUAAUAAUUCAGAUCACCUGUGAUCUUUGUGUUGAAUGUGCUUUCAGUGUUCUUGAGAAGUGUAAAACUGUUCAACAUUCCGUUUACAUGUUCUGAAACUUCUGUGAUUCAA
RNA transcript from Triticum aestivum (bread wheat), 4096 nucleotides. RefSeq lists it as uncharacterized. Lineage: Eukaryota; Viridiplantae; Streptophyta; Magnoliopsida; Poales; Poaceae. The transcript has 3 exons. The record is from RefSeq and is a predicted model, not a curated record.